AGGGGAGGUUUAACCAACGAGAACUGCUAACUCUCGCAUCUGAGUAUAAAACCUCAGCCCCCUU
This 64-nucleotide transfer RNA is filed under the name Melanocharis arfakiana. RNAcentral's name for it is "tRNA-Ser". Lineage: Eukaryota; Metazoa; Chordata; Aves; Passeriformes; Melanocharitidae. The record is from RNAcentral.